Molecule: ribosomal RNA, 468 nt
Filed under: uncultured bacterium
Lineage: Bacteria
Description: partial 16S ribosomal RNA
Rfam family: Bacterial small subunit ribosomal RNA
Source: RNAcentral
GACGAACGCUGGCGGCGUGCUUAACACAUGCAAGUCGAACGGAAAGGCCCUGCUUUUGUGGGGUGCUCGAGUGGCGAACGGGUGAGUAACACGUGAGUAACCUGCCCUUGACUUUGGGAUAACUUCAGGAAACUGGGGCUAAUACCGGAUAGGAGCUCCUGCUGCAUGGUGGGGGUUGGAAAGUUUCGGCGGUUGGGGAUGGACUCGCGGCUUAUCAGCUUGUUGGUGGGGUAGUGGCUUACCAAGGCUUUGACGGGUAGCCGGCCUGAGAGGGUGACCGGCCACAUUGGGACUGAGAUACGACGCAGACUCCUACGGGAGACAGCAGUGGAGAAUAUUGCACAAUGGGCGGAAGCCUGAUGCAGCAACGCCGCGUGCGGGAUGACGGCCUUCGGGUUGUAAACCGCUUUCGCCUGUGACGAAGCGUGAGUGACGGUAAUGGGUAAAGAAGCACCGGCUAACUACGUG